This is an RNA transcript of Sesamum indicum (sesame), 3744 nucleotides long. It is a transcript of the gene named transcription initiation factor TFIID subunit, with no coding region annotated. The record is from RefSeq and is a predicted model, not a curated record. NCBI's taxonomy places the organism in Eukaryota, Viridiplantae, Streptophyta, Magnoliopsida, Lamiales, Pedaliaceae.
AUGAUACAUCUUUUAUCUCUCUUUCUUUCUCAAUCUCAUUCUUUCUCACUCUUCUCUCAUCUCCCAAUUCAAACGACAAUCACCAAAUUCUUUUUCCCCAAAUCUAACUCCUAAAACGCUAGCACCAAACCAACGCUUGCAAGCACCUCCAUCUACCAGCGGCAACGACGAAGGCGCUUGCUGUUGUGUCGGCCAAGCAAGAAGCUCGAAUUUUCUCAGCAGAAGAUUCGUGUUGUCAUUGUUGUAGUGAUCUCAGUCAAAUUAACUGGAAAGUUCGUCCGACAGCAAUCUCCAAACUAUUGAAUUUCUCUCUUCAAACAAAAUCCUCAUACAUAGUUGCAGAAAUGGCAAUGACCAUUGAAGGUUUGUCUGUAAUUUUGGUGUUUAUGUCUGUCUUGUAGCUCUUCCAGCCAAAUCCAAUAUUUUAAGUGAACAGCAUUAGACUUGACAGAAAUUUUUACACACCCGGAGAUGGCGCUGUUGGGGGAUGACGGGCGGGGCUACGAGCUGGCGCGGAAGCUGGAGAGCCACGGCGUGUGGCGGUCGUGGCUCGGUGACGCUCUUUACUCCACCUUCAUUCCCUUCCUCUCCUCCCCAGCCGCCUGGGAAGCCUUUAUGCGAGCUGAUGACUCCAAGACUAAGCCUCAGAUCCACCUCCAGCUCCGCGCACGUGCUCUCCUCUUCGAUAAGGCCUCCGCUUCGCUCUUUAUCCAAUCCGCUUCAUCCGCACCCAUCUCUCAGCUCAAUCCUAAUUAUUUGGAAUUGCAUGGAGAUGAUGUGUAUUUCACUUUGGAAAAUGGUGCACAAGAUGGAGAGCAACGCCAACCUCUCUUGGCUGCUCCAAGCACGACCUCAUCAAAGGGGCUUUCUAAAACAUCUAUUGGUGUUGGUUCAAGAUUUAGUGAAUCAGAAGUUGAUGCUGGUUCCCAAAGAUUUAAGCUGGAAGCAAUGCCUGAAACAUGGUAUAGUCAGUUCUUUGAGAAAUAUAGGGCAAGUAAAUCUUACAGAUUGAUGUUUGGGGAUAGAGAAUCAGAAAAACGAACACCUGAACAGAUGUCCACUUAUCUUAGAGUGCUUGAGAAUCACAAACGAAGAAGAAUAGCUUUCAAGGACAAUGCAUCAAACUUGCAAUCAAACUCAGUAAUGGGUGAAAGUACUGCGCUUGAUGAUACACCUCUUUUCCCGGAAACAAUGUUUACUUUAAAUUGUGUUCCUGAUAGUGCAGUCUCAAAAACAAGCAGAUUAGAGAACAAUCAGAAAGUGCAGUUCAAUGGGGUUCUGGACAACUUGCCUCAGAUCAUGCCGAAGAGCCCGGUGAUGAGCCCUAUUAUGAUUGAGAGGCUUGGUAUCAGGCCUGAAUAUUUAAACAUGGAACAAGGACAUCAAACUCGUGGAAAGAAUGGAUAUCAAGGGAGCAGGAAACUUCUUGGUCAGGAACAAGCAUUACAGAUGUCGCAUAAGGUGGUAGCGCGGUUGCUAACCAAUGUGGGAUUUGAAUCUUCUUCAGAUUCAUCUUUAGAAGUUCUGGCACAGUUUUUAAGUUGUCAUAUCAGUAAAUUAGGGCGCAUCUUAAAGCUCCUUGCUGAUAGUUAUAGAAAGCAGUGUUCAGCCACCGAAUUACUCAAGAUGUUCCUUCAAACUGCAGGAUAUAGUAACCUAGGGGCCCUGGCUGAGCUGAUGAAGGAUAAUAGUAAAAAUGUGGUACAGCAAAAUCAGCAGCAGGUGCUGGGUAUCCAGGCACAGCUGCAGUCACAAUUGCAGUCACAGCAGCAACCUUCCGUUCAGCAGUCACAGCAGGUCCUAAGGCAAAUGAGUCCACAGAUGCAGCAAAUGAAUAAUCCUCAGUAUCUGGCAUUUCAGCAGCAGCAGCAGUGGGAGAGGAUGAGAAGGAGGCAACAGCAGGCAGCAGCACCUCGUCCUGGCAUGAGCAUGAACAUGAACAUGAAUAUGAAUAUGAAUAUGAAUAUGGACAAGGACAGACCUCUGGUGCAAGUGAAGAUGGAGAAUCCAUCUGACUUUCCAAUGGAUGCAAAUUCUUUCCCAACAAUGACUUCCAGACACCCCCAGUUGCAACAGUUGCGGCAACAACAACUGGCUGCAAUAUCAUCUCUACAUGCUCAAGCCAACAGCAAUGCAUUUAGGCCGAUGACUUCUCUUCAAAUUCCACAAGUCCAAUCACCGAACAUGACAAUGGCAAGGGCUCCACCUGUGAAGGUUGAAGGUUUUCAGGAGCUGAUGGGUGGAGAUUCUUCCAUGAAGCAUGAUUCGGAGGAAAAUAAGCUACUUUCUCCUCAAAAGUAGUAUAUCUUAAAUCCUCAUCUCUAGAGUAUCUUCCAAUGUGAAUUACAUAGGUACUUCGAUGCCUACCUGCUUUCCUGCCAUAACUCCAGCAUUUUAACCAUUGGUCUCCCUGAACUGGCAACAGCAUAAGAGGGCACUCCAUCCACUGUUACUCAAGAAAGCACCUAAUGAACCAUGGCCAAGUAUGUUUAUCCAAGUUGCCCUAUUCCUCCGUACAACUCCUCCCCCCUUGAUUCUCUCUUUAACUCCAUUCGGCCGCUCAAUCUUGUCCUCCUUAAUCGACCCAGCUGGGUUUCUGAGUGCUCAGACAAAAGGUAAACCAUAAAGUUCGAGCCCAUGAGCUAGUUCACUUGGUCGCUGCUCAAAACCACUCCACUUCCUAAUGUAACUUACACCUGAGACUCUUUGUUUUCGCUGCAAAGCCAAUCUUUGACAGAAGCCCAUGCUUCAUUUGCACUAUAGCUGGAGUUGUGAUCCACAUGCAGAGGCGUUACUCCAAGUGGCAUCACCACUAUCUGGUGAAGCUCUUCUAGCAGCUUCAACCAUAGAGGCUGAACCCAUUUCAGUCUCAUGUAAUUAUGGCAUCAGAUCCAGUAUUCAUUUAAAAACCCUGACGUGUUCUUUUUGGCUGUGUCAAUAAUCCAGUUGGCCUCAGUGUCUGUAAGCACCUUAGUCUCAAAAGUUACCCUUUCUGGUGGAGCCAUGUGAUCCUCCGGUCUAGUCCAACCUUCUAGACCAUUGAUCAAAGCCUCUGUGUUUCCAAGGAAAGCGGGAAGUGGGAACCAUGCACCAAAGAUGGAAAAGAAGAGCAAAAUUCCAAGCCUAGUUGUAACCGUGGGCAACAAAUGAGCAGACAGACCAAUCAUAUAUGAUGAUAUCACCAUUAGAGUUCUCCAGGAAUAGAGUUAGCUCAUAUUCCAACCCAUAAUAUGCCUUCUUGAAUGCUUCGUGAUGGCAUCCUCAGUUGGGAUAUCGAUGGUGGCUUCUGCAUUAUUGGGGAGCCCUUGAAGCUCUGGCAGUGGGAUUUUCAACAAAGCUGUGGUAGAAACCAAAUGCGGAGGAAGUUCUUCCUUGGGGCGGAAAUGAAGGUAAGUGUUCAAUGUUCCUUACGGUGGAAACGUUUCAAAGCUAUGAAUUUGGAGAGGUUGAAAAAUGGAAGGAUGUGAGUCAUUUGGUGAAUAGUGUAAAUUCAGGGAGACUCAAAACUCAGGCCUCAUCUCCCUUUGCUAAUUGGGUCGGAUAUCCCACACUAUCCUACCCAAUAUUUUGUUUACUUCAAUUUUGAAGUUGAAUUUUGAUUGCAAACCCACCUCCUGCCCCAAGUUUCAAGUUUAUAAUUUGGGCUGACGAUUUUGUCCUCUUUUUUAGGUUUGAUCUGUCUCUUUUGUCCUCGUGUCCUUAUUUGAGAUUACAGUGGUCGAGGAAAACGAAAAUCCUUUCGUC